UUUCCGUAGGUGAACCUGCGGAAGGAUCAUUACAGAGUUCAUGCCCUUCUGGGUAGAUCUCCCACCCUUGUGUAUUCUAAUUAAUUGUUGCUUUGGCUGGCCGUACGCUCUGCUUACCCGGGGAUCUCUCCGGUGAGCCCGCCAGAGAACCCCAAACUCUGAAUUUUAGUGUCGUCUGAGUACUAUAUAAUAGUUAAAACUUUCAACAACGGAUCUCUUGGUUCUGGCAUCGAUGAAGAACGCAGC
This 246-nucleotide unclassified non-coding RNA is filed under the name uncultured fungus. RNAcentral describes it as "sequence contains ITS1, 5.8S rRNA gene". The stretch from base 198 to 246 matches the Rfam family "5.8S ribosomal RNA", at positions 1 to 49 of the family's 154-position model. Lineage: Eukaryota; Fungi. The record is from RNAcentral.